This is a non-coding RNA of Pholiota molesta, 81 nucleotides long. The record is from the annotation of a GenBank genome assembly. NCBI's taxonomy places the organism in Eukaryota, Fungi, Basidiomycota, Agaricomycetes, Agaricales, Strophariaceae.
GGGCUGGUGGUGUAAUGGUUAGCACGCCGCGCCUUGGAACCUUGGAGUGCGAGGUCCUGAGUUCAAUCCCAGGCUGGUCCA